RNAcentral lists this ribosomal RNA (644 nucleotides) under uncultured Lactobacillus sp. Its description in RNAcentral is "bacterial SSU rRNA". It matches the Rfam family "Bacterial small subunit ribosomal RNA", at positions 28 to 627 of the family's 1533-position model. Lineage: Bacteria; Bacillati; Bacillota; Bacilli; Lactobacillales; Lactobacillaceae. The record is from RNAcentral.
GAUGAACGCCGGCGGUGUGCCUAAUACAUGCAAGUCGAACGCGUUGGCCCAACUGAUUGGACGUGCUUGCACGGACUUGACGUUGGUUUACCAGCGAGUGGCGGACGGGUGAGUAACACGUAGGUAACCUGCCCCGGAGCGGGGGGAUAACAUUUGGAAACAGAUGCUAAUACCGCAUAACAACAAAAGUNNCAUGGCUUUUGUUUGAAAGAUGGCUUUGGCUAUCACUCUGGGAUGGACCUGCGGUGCAUUAGCUAGUUGGUAAGGUAACGGCUUACCAAGGCGAUGAUGCAUAGCCGAGUUGAGAGACUGAUCGGCCACAAUGGAACUGAGACACGGUCCAUACUCCUACGGGAGGCAGCAGUAGGGAAUCUUCCACAAUGGGCGCAAGCCUGAUGGAGCAACACCGCGUGAGUGAAGAAGGGUUUCGGCUCGUAAAGCUCUGUUGUUGGAGAAGAACGUGCGUGAGAGUAACUGUUCACGCAGUGACGGUAUCCAACCAGAAAGUCACGGCUAACUACGUGCCAGCAGCCGCGGUAAUACGUAGGUGGCAAGCGUUAUCCGGAUUUAUUGGGCGUAAAGCGAGCGCAGGCGGUUGCUUAGGUCUGAUGUGAAAGCCUUCGGCUUAACCGAAGAAGUGCAUC